Non-coding RNA from Schistosoma curassoni, 45 nucleotides. The record is from Rfam. NCBI's taxonomy places the organism in Eukaryota, Metazoa, Platyhelminthes, Trematoda, Strigeidida, Schistosomatidae.
AUCCAGCUGACGAGGGCCAAAUAGGACGAAGCGCGCGUCCCAGAU